RNAcentral lists this ribosomal RNA (484 nucleotides) under uncultured bacterium. RNAcentral describes it as "partial 16S ribosomal RNA". It matches the Rfam family "Bacterial small subunit ribosomal RNA", at positions 30 to 507 of the family's 1533-position model. The record is from RNAcentral.
AUUGAACGCUGGCGGCAUGCUUUACACAUGCAAGUCGAACGGCAGCGCGGGCUUCGGCCUGGCGGCGAGUGGCGAACGGGUGAGUAAUACAUCGGAACGUGCCCAGUAGUUGGGGAUAGCUCGGCGAAAGCCGGAUUAAUACCGCAUACGACCUGAGGGUCAAAGCGGGGGAUCUUCUGACCUCGCGCUAUUGGAGCUGCCGAUGGCAGAUUAGCUAGUUGGUGGGGUAAAGGCCUACCAAGGCGACGAUCUGUAGCUGGUCUGAGAGGAGGACCAGCCACACUGGGACUGAGACACGGCCCAGACUCCUACGGGAGGCAGCAGUGGGGAAUGUUGGACAAUGGGCGAAAGCCUGAUCCAGCAAUGCCGCGUGUGUGAUGAAGGCCUUCGGGUUGUAAAGCACUUUUGGCGGGAACGAAAAGGAAUGUGCCAAUACCACGGUUCGAUGACGGUACCCGCAGAAUAAGCACCGGCUAACUACGUG